CACACACAGACACAGACACCGCUACACAGCUGUGUUUGUAUUUCUUUCGUAUUAUACCUUAUACGGCUAUAUACGAUAUGUAAUUGAUUCUAAAUAGGGAAAUCUCACAAUUCGUCUCCCGUUCAACGGCGACCAAGAUCUCUCUUAUUCAUCAUCUCAUACAGAUCCAAAGAUUGAGAUAAGCUCAUUCCUCAUUUAUUACCCAAUUCCCUUAUUUAUCGAACGGAAUUAUAAAAGAGGCUGAAAUCUGUGUUCUCCACACGUCUUUGCUUAGGAAGAUUUUCUGAUUCAAGCAAUAGAGCCCAGCAUCAAUUGAGAGAUUGGAACGGGUAAGUCAAAUUUUGAUCUUUCAGUUUUCUUGAAUUCUCCCCUAUUUCGACGACAAAUGAGUGGUUGCAAUUAAAACUUUUGCUUCUUCGUUGUGGUUUGAGGAAAGAAUGAUUGAUUUGUGGGUUUGUGAUUUAAAAGAAAGCUUGAUGAUUUAAGGAGGUUUUGUGGUUUUACACUUUUAGUAAUUAUAAUUUCUCUUUAAUUUGUUCAUAUCAUAACCUUGUUAACUCAUUUGGGGUAUUAAUUUGGUUCAGAAUGUUUUCCCUCAUAAGCGAAGAUGCACUUUCUGUGAUGUGGAAAUAGCAAAAGAUUGGAGUGUGAUGUGGUACUGUUAUCAUGAGUUGUCUUAGAAUUGAUAAUUGGUAUGUCGUAGUGGAGUUUCAGGGGAAGUUAGAUUGAAAUCCAAAUGGGGUUAUUCAAGGCUAGGAAGGAGACAUAGGUACAGUUUCCAUGUACAUUGUGAGCUGGUAUUAGAAUGUUUGAAAUUUUUGAUUUUGUUGAGUGAAGGUUUAGUUUUCUUAGCAAUGGAUCAGCGUAAAAAGAGGGUAGUCAUGCCAACACAAGAUGGGUAUGGGUGCUUAUUUGGAACCGAUUAAGGGACGGAACUUCUACAUGAGGGGCUUCCUAGUGAACCGGUUCCUGUAGGAGCCUGUUUAUUGAACUGUUUCUAUUUACAGGAUCUCAAAGAGUCCUUAUUAGGGGACCUCAUUCAAGUGCAUUCUAUCCACAGGAUUUCGGAGAUUUCUUAGAGAUGGACCUCAUUCGAGUGCCUUAAAAUGAUUAUAUAUUCUGGUCCAGUAUAAACAUGCUUUGUUUAUUUAGGACUUGUUAAGAUAAGUUUAAUUUGUGACUUGAGAACUAAGCACUGUAAGUUGACUUUUUUCAAGAAUGGUGGAGUAUAAGCAGAAUUGGCAACUGUCUUACGGUCACAAUAGGAGUAGAAAGAAAAAAGAAAAAUGUGAGAGCCUACCUGGAAAAAAUAUUAUAUGUCUAUGACUAUAGCAAGGGAACACAUGAUUUAGGAUGAUGCAGAGAAAAUUAAAUCAGAUAAAA
This is a long non-coding RNA of Macadamia integrifolia, 1383 nucleotides long. RefSeq lists it as uncharacterized. The transcript is spliced from 2 exons. NCBI's taxonomy places the organism in Eukaryota, Viridiplantae, Streptophyta, Magnoliopsida, Proteales, Proteaceae. The record is from RefSeq and is a predicted model, not a curated record.